This is a small nucleolar RNA of Otolemur garnettii (small-eared galago), 115 nucleotides long. The record is from Ensembl. Lineage: Eukaryota; Metazoa; Chordata; Mammalia; Primates; Galagidae.
UUGUACCCUUUCAUUGUUAAGAAAUAAAUCACAUCUUAUGUGCUAUACAGAUAGUUGAAGGUUAAUUAGCAGUAUAACUAUAAAUAGUAAUGCUGCCAGUCUCCUUCAGACAAGA